UACGUAGGGGGCGAGCGUUGUCCGGAAUGACUGGGCGUAAAGGGCGCGUAGACGGUUGUCUAAGUCUGGAGUGAAAGUCCUGCUUUUAAGGUGGGAAUUGCUUUGGAGACUGGAUGACUUGAGUGCGGAAGAGGUAAGUGGAAUUCCCAGUGUAGCGGUGAAAUGCGUAGAGAUUGGGAAGAACACCAGUGGCGAAGGCGACUUACUGGGCCGUAACUGACGUUGAUGCGCGAAAGCGUGGGGAGCGAACAGGAUUAGAUACCCUGGUAGUCCACGCGGUAAACGAUGAGUGCUAGGUGUAGCGGGUAUCGACCCCUGCUGUGCCGGAGUUAACACAAUAAGCACUCCGCCUGGGGAGUACGGCCGCAAGGUUGAA
This 376-nucleotide ribosomal RNA is filed under the name uncultured bacterium. RNAcentral's name for it is "bacterial SSU rRNA". It matches the Rfam family "Bacterial small subunit ribosomal RNA", at positions 524 to 898 of the family's 1533-position model. The record is from RNAcentral.